RNAcentral lists this ribosomal RNA (416 nucleotides) under uncultured bacterium. RNAcentral describes it as "bacterial SSU rRNA". It matches the Rfam family "Bacterial small subunit ribosomal RNA", at positions 355 to 776 of the family's 1533-position model. The record is from RNAcentral.
UGAGGAAUUUUGCGCAAUGGGCGAAAGCCUGACGCAGCGACGCCGCGUGGAGGAAGAAGGCCUUCGGGUCGUAAACUCCUGUCAGAGGUGAAGAAGGCCCGCAAGGGUUUGACGGUAACCUCAGAGGAAGCCCCGGCUAACUACGUGCCAGCAGCCGCGGUAAUACGUAGGGGGCGAGCGUUGCUCGGAAUUACUGGGCGUAAAGGGUGUGCAGGCGGCCGAUUAAGUCAACGAUGAAAUCCCGAAGCUCAACUUCGGAAUGGUCUUUGAUACUGAUCGGCUUGAGGCUAACAGAGGAGAGCAGAAUUCCCGGUGGAGCGGUGAAAUGCGUAGAUAUCGGGAGGAAUACCAGAGGCGAAGGCGGCUCUCUAUACUAGUCCUGACGCUGAGACACGAAAGCUAGGGGAGCAAACGGG